This 301-nucleotide ribosomal RNA is filed under the name uncultured bacterium. RNAcentral's name for it is "partial 16S ribosomal RNA". It matches the Rfam family "Bacterial small subunit ribosomal RNA", at positions 509 to 807 of the family's 1533-position model. The record is from RNAcentral.
CAGUCGCCACGGGAAUACGAAGGGGGCUAGCGUUGCUCGGAAUCACUGGGCGUAAAGGGUGCGUAGGCGGGUCUCUAAGUCAGGGGUGAAAUCCUGGAGCUCAACUCCAGAACUGCCUUUGAUACUGAAGAUCUUGAGUUCGGGAGAGGUGAGUGGAACUGCGAGUGUAGAGGUGAAAUUCGUAGAUAUUCGCAAGAACACCAGUGGCGAAGGCGGCUCACUGGCCCGAUACUGACGCUGAGGCACGAAAGCGUGGGGAGCAAACAGGAUUAGAGACCCGCGUAGUCCCUGUCUCUUAUAC